RNAcentral lists this ribosomal RNA (495 nucleotides) under uncultured bacterium. Its description in RNAcentral is "partial 16S ribosomal RNA". It matches the Rfam family "Bacterial small subunit ribosomal RNA", at positions 28 to 507 of the family's 1533-position model. The record is from RNAcentral.
GAUGAACGCUGGCGGCGUGCCUAAUACAUGCAAGUAGAACGCUGAAGGAGUAGCUUUCUCUUCUGGAUGAGUUGCGAACGGGUGAGUAACUCGUAGGUAACCUGCCUGUUAGCGUGGGAUAACUAUUGGAAACGAUAGCUAAUACCGCAUGACAACAGCUAUUGCAUGAUAACUGUUUAAAAGUGGCAACUGCUCCACUACCAGAUGGACCUGCGUUGGAUUAGCUAGUUGUGGCGGUAACGGCUCACCAAGGCGACGAUACAUAGUCGACCUGAGAGGGGGAAUCGCAGCACUGCGAGGGAGACGCGAACCAGAGACCUAGGGAAGGCGGCAGUAGUGAAUCGGCGGGAAUGGUCGGAAGACUCACCGAGGGACGCCGCGUGAUGGAAGAAGGUUGUCGGGUCGUAAAGGACUGUUGUAAGGGAGAAAAGGGUGUGGGAGUGGAAAGAGCACAGAGUGACGGUAUCUUACAAGAAAGGGAGGGCUAACUACGUG